RNAcentral lists this long non-coding RNA (1346 nucleotides) under Equus asinus (donkey). RNAcentral describes it as "lncRNA (ENSEASG00005024210.1)". Lineage: Eukaryota; Metazoa; Chordata; Mammalia; Perissodactyla; Equidae. The record is from RNAcentral.
CCCAGCCGCUCCUGCCCGGCGCAGAGGCUCCGGCGGCCGGCCUUCCCGCUCCUGGCUUCUCCAGCUCGGAAAGCUGUUUGAGAAAUCGUUUUUCCUCUUAAAAGGGCUUCCGUAUUUCUUCUGGUUUUAACCUAAUAUUGUGGGCUCUGACUAAUCCUUUUCAAGGCUGAAUCAUUCCAUCUUUUGUUUCUUACUUAAAAAGAUUCUGGCCAGAGAUGCUGUAAAACUCCGCAAGUGUUAACUAGAUGAUCUGCUCAUUUCUUUUAAAUUUUUAAUCACAUAAGAAAGACGUGACUCACUCAUUGCAGCUGUAAAAUGCUUGAACAUUAUACAAAGUUCCAACCAUUGACUCUACCCCACGAUUUUACUCCACACCAACCACAGUUAGCAGUUUGUUGCUACUGUAUACGUUUUUCUAUGCAUUUACAAACAUCAAACGUCUCUAGCAAUGGUUGUGUUGCAUUUAUAUGUGUGUUUACGCCAGCAUACUGUACAAAUAGUUUGUUUCCUUAUUACCCUAAGGAUGGGCAUGUGUUACCAAUUUUUCUGCUAUUACAAAAAAAAAUAGAGCCAUAAUUUAUCUCUUUAUUCAUGCCUCAUGUUGUGGGCUGAAUUGUGUCCCCCCCAAAUUUCACGUGUUGUGAAGUCCUCAUCCCCAGGACCUCAGAAAUGUGACUGUGUUUGGAGGUAGGGUCUUUACAGAGGUAAUCAAGUUAAAAUGAGGUCAUUAGGGUGGGCCCUGAUCCAACAGGACUGAUGUCCUUAUUAGAAGAGGAAAUUUGCACAUAGUCAUGUACGGGAGGGGACCAUGUGAAGACACAGGGAAAGACAGCUGUCUGCAAGCCAAGGAGAGAGAUCUCAGAAGACACCAACCCUGCUGACAGCUUGAUCCUGGACUUGAGCCACCAGAACUGAGACAAUCAAUUUCUGUUGUUUAAGGCACCCAGUCCAUGGUCCUUUUUUAUGGCAGCCCUAGCACACCAGUACACCUUUUUGGAAGCAGUUGGAAACUAAGCCUCGGGGCUGAUUUUGUGGCUCCUCCGUCAUCUGGCAUCUAGCCUCUUUCUCAUUCUGCUCCAUCGCCCUGGCCUGUGGCUUCAGUCCUCAAGCUCACUGCAAGUUCCGAGAUGGCUACUGGAGCUCCAGCCAUCAAGAUGACUUUCAUCCAGGGGAAGAAGGAAGGGAGGACGGCCAAAGGGAGCAGACCUUGCAAUGGAGUCAGGCUUCCCUUAGCAGUCUUCUGGGACAUUCCACACAGACUAUUGUUGACAUUCCAUGGGCUGGAGCCGAGCCCUCCCAGGGAAGCUGGGAGACUGCCUUCUGGCUGCAUACCUUGUCACCCCGAA